AGAGUUUGAUCCUGGCUCAGCUCGAACGCUGGCGGCAUGGCUAAAACAUGCAAGUCGUGGGCGAAGCCCUUCGGGGUGGAGACCGGCGAAAGGGCGAGGAAUACCUUGGAACGUACCCGGAGGUGGGGGAUAGCGUCGGGAAACUAGCGGUAAUACCCCAUGUGCUCCAUGGAGGAAAGCUUCGGCGCCUUCGGAGCGGCCAAGGUCCUAUCAGGUAGUUGGUGAGGUAAAGGCUCACCAAGCCAAUGACGGGUAGCGGGUGUGAGAGCAUGACCCGCCGCAUCGGAACUGAGACACUGUCCGGACACCUACGGGUGGCAGC
This 322-nucleotide ribosomal RNA is filed under the name uncultured bacterium. RNAcentral describes it as "bacterial SSU rRNA". It matches the Rfam family "Bacterial small subunit ribosomal RNA", at positions 8 to 352 of the family's 1533-position model. The record is from RNAcentral.